This 530-nucleotide ribosomal RNA is filed under the name uncultured fungus. RNAcentral describes it as "eukaryotic LSU rRNA". The stretch from base 151 to 304 matches the Rfam family "5.8S ribosomal RNA". Lineage: Eukaryota; Fungi. The record is from RNAcentral.
CCUCCCACCCAUGUUUAUUGUACCUUGACUGCUUCGGCGGGCCCGCCUCACGGCCGCCGGGGGGCUUCUGCCCUCUGGACCGCGCCCGCCGAAGACACCAUUGAACACUGUCUGAAGAUUGCAGUCUGAGCAAUUAGCUAAAUAAGUUAAAACUUUCAACAACGGAUCUCUUGGUUCCGGCAUCGAUGAAGAACGCAGCGAAAUGCGAUACGAAAUGUGAAUUGCAGAAUUCCGUGAAUCAUCGAGUCUUUGAACGCACAUUGCGCCCCUUGGUAUUCCGGGGGGCAUGCCUGUCCGAGCGUCAUUGCUGCCCUCAAGCACGGCUUGUGUGUUGGGCCCCGUCCUCCUUCCCGGGGGACGGGCCCGAAAGGCAGCGGCGGCACCGCGUCCGGUCCUCGAGCGUAUGGGGCUUUGUCACCCGCUCUUGUAGGCCCGGCCGGCGCUUGCCGACAACAAUCAAUCUUUUUUCAGGUUGACCUCGGAUCAGGUAGGGAUACCCGCUGAACUUAAGCAUAUCAAUAAGCGGAGGA